ACUCAAAGGAAUUGACGGGGGCCCGCACAAGCGGUGGAGCAUGUGGUUUAAUUCGACGCAACGCGAAGAACCUUACCUGGGCUCGAACGGCAUUGGAUCAUCCUCAGAAACGAGGACUUCUCGCAAGAGACUGAUGUCGAGGUGCUGCAUGGCUGUCGUCAGCUCGUGUCGUGAGAUGUUGGGUUAAGUCCCGCAACGAGCGCAACCCUUGUCCUGUGUUGCCAUCAUUAAGUUGGGCACUCUCAGGAGACCGCCAGCGAUAAGUUGGAGGAAGGUGGGGAUGAUGUCAAGUCAUCAUGGCCUUUAUGUCCAGGGCUACACACGUGCUACAAUGGGCGGUACAACACGCUGCAAACCCGCGAGGGGGAGCUAAUCGUAAAAAACCGUCCUCAGUUCGGAUCGGAGGCUGCAACUCGCCUCCGUGAAGCUGGAAUCGCUAGUAAUGGCGCAUCAGAACGGCGCCGUGAAUACGUUCCCGGGCCUUGUACACACCGCCCGU
Molecule: ribosomal RNA, 499 nt
Filed under: uncultured bacterium
Lineage: Bacteria
Description: partial 16S ribosomal RNA
Rfam family: Bacterial small subunit ribosomal RNA
Source: RNAcentral